GACGAACGCUGGCGGCGUGCUUAACACAUGCAAGUCGAACGGAAAGGCCCUGCUUUUGUGGGGUGCUCGAGUGGCGAACGGGUGAGUAACACGUGAGUAACCUGCCCUUGACUUUGGGAUAACUUCAGGAAACUGGGGCUAAUACCGGAUAGGAGCUCCUGCUGCAUGGUGGGGGUUGGAAAGUUUCGGCGGUUGGGGAUGGACUCGCGGCUUAUCAGCUUGUUGGUGGGGUAGUGGCUUACCAAGGCUUUGACGGGUAGCCGGCCUGAGAGGGUGACCGGCCACAUUGGGACUGAGAUACGGCCCAGACUCCUACGGGAGGCAGCAGCGGGGAAUAUUGCACAAUGGGCGGAAGCCUGAUGCAGCAACGCCGCGUGCGGGAUGACGGCCUUCGGGUUGUAAACCGCUUUCGCCUGUGACGAAGCGUGAGUGACGGUAAUGGGUAAAGAAGCACCGGCUAACUACG
RNAcentral lists this ribosomal RNA (466 nucleotides) under uncultured bacterium. RNAcentral's name for it is "partial 16S ribosomal RNA". It matches the Rfam family "Bacterial small subunit ribosomal RNA", at positions 28 to 505 of the family's 1533-position model. The record is from RNAcentral.